UACGGAGGGGGCGAGCGUUAUUCGGAAUUAUUGGGCGUAAAGGGCGCGUAGGCGGCUUGACAAGUCAAAGGUGAAAUCCCUCGGCUCAACUGAGGAACUGCCUUUGAAACUGUCUGGCUUGAGGCCGGGAGAGGGUAGCGGAAUUCCCAGUGUAGCGGUGAAAUGCGUAGAUAUUGGGAGGAACACCAGUGGCGAAGGCGGCUACCUGGACCGGUUCUGACGCUGAGGCGCGAAAGCGUGGGUAGCAAAC
RNAcentral lists this ribosomal RNA (250 nucleotides) under uncultured bacterium. Its description in RNAcentral is "partial 16S ribosomal RNA". It matches the Rfam family "Bacterial small subunit ribosomal RNA", at positions 524 to 773 of the family's 1533-position model. The record is from RNAcentral.